AGUAGGAGACUUGGAUCUAGGGAAAAGAGCCUGUCGGGAUCGGUAUCCAAUUUGCAAGCAACCAAGGUAUGCCAAGAUCUGUAGCCAGAGGAACAAUCCGAGUCACGCUUUCGUUCAGAUUCGAUGUCGCAGAACAUGUGGACUUUGCGGAUGAGGUAAACUGUGAGCUCGUCUCAAGACAAGAAAGGCUUGGUGUCAUGUUAUGAAUAGCUGAAAUGUAAUCAGCACUUCGCGUAGCCAUUUGGAUAAAAAGAAUACUUAUCAUCUAAAAUAUUUCUUUAAGUUGCUCUAGGAAAACUAGUUUGAAUUCUAUUAAAGUACAUUACCAUUUACA
Long non-coding RNA from Pocillopora verrucosa, 334 nucleotides. RefSeq lists it as uncharacterized. NCBI's taxonomy places the organism in Eukaryota, Metazoa, Cnidaria, Anthozoa, Scleractinia, Pocilloporidae. The record is from RefSeq and is a predicted model, not a curated record.